Esox lucius (northern pike) is the source of this 1476-nucleotide long non-coding RNA. The record is from Ensembl. NCBI's taxonomy places the organism in Eukaryota, Metazoa, Chordata, Actinopteri, Esociformes, Esocidae.
CUUUAUCUUUCCCACUACAUUAAACCCAUUGUUAAGGUAGGACCUACUUUAUCUUUCCCACUACAUUAAACCCAUUGUUAAGGUAGGACCUACUUUAUCUUUCCCACUACAUUAAACCCAUUGCCUUGUGUCAACCAGAUUAAAUAUUAAAGGGAUACUGAGAGAUUUGGGUAUUUAAGAGUUUUUCUUUAACAUAUCCUGAAUCAGACAAUGUAAUUUAUAAUGUGUUUAUUUCUCUGUGUGCAGUUUAGAUGUUAGUCUAUAGAGUCACACUUCCAGGGCACAGUAGCCAGAUACCUUUCAAAGCAGGGACAUGCAUCUUUAUCUACUCUAAAGCUUUGCAAAAAUGUGUAGUCUUAUCAAGCCAUAGUCAUCAAGGUUUUAUACAUGAUUUUGGCAAAUCAUUAGCAUUUUACAUUUCCCUUCCUAAUUCUGUCCUGUUGCUGCACAGAGAUGUAUAGAGAUUACAGAUACGCUUUUUAUCUGUGGCGUAGCUGCCUUAAUGGGAUAGAUUUACAUUUUUGUCUUUCAGCAGAGGCUCUCGUCUAGAACAAUUGGUGUUAAAUGCCUUACUAAAGGACGCAAUAAUACAAAUAUCCCUGGCUCAGGUAUUCAAACCAGCAAACUUUCAGUUACUUGCACAGCACCCUAACAAUUAAGCUUUGCCACCCAGUCCUGUCCUUGGGGACUGAUCAUAUAAUAACUUUAUUUUCCAACUGCAAUUACUUCAUUUGACUCAAGGCAAUUGGACAUCCUAGUGAAAUAUCUCAAUCUCACAGUAUCCUUUUAAAAUGUUAUUACCUACUGAUGCCUUCCACUUACCAAUAGGAUUAGACCUGUCUAAGCAAUUUGCUCAAUAUUUAUUGCCUAUGUUGUCCACUCUUGUGUGAAUGCUGUUUGUACGUAAUGUGAGAAUGAAUGUAUGUGAGCAUGAAUUUCUAUGUAUGAAAGAUACAGAUUUAUAUUUGACAGUGUUUUGUAUAGAAUCAUUUUACAAGCACAUCUCUGUAUAUAAAAUGUGUUUAUAUUUUAUUUACUUGCAUACUGUAGCCUUUUGUUAAAGCCUAGCAGAUUUCAUUUUUAGCAGUUUAUUCAAUCCUUUGUUCAUCAUGUGAUUUAUUUGUCAUAGUCCAACUUGUCAUUCUCUUCUCACAUGUGAUCCUGAACGGUCUUAUAAUUCUGUCUCACUGGUUUUGCCUGUGAAAUAAAUGGAUUUUACAUACAAACACCACUGCUACUGUGUCUUAUGCACAAGUCUCUUUCCCCCUAUUAAUUCAAAAUGCCCCCUCCCAUAUUUCAACCGCUUGCUAAAAUACUUACCAACACCCCCAACUCUCCUGCGUUCUAAAAUUAGUCCUGUACAUUGCUCAUUCUGGUUUUGCUGUAGAGGUUAAGAAACCUUAUCCUUGAAUGUAAACUAUGUACCCCAACACAGCCCUCACCCAUACCCCCACUACUCACAACCCCACUUUCUCU